Molecule: ribosomal RNA, 405 nt
Filed under: uncultured bacterium
Lineage: Bacteria
Description: partial 16S ribosomal RNA
Rfam family: Bacterial small subunit ribosomal RNA
Source: RNAcentral
AUUGAACGCUGGCGCCAGGCUUAACAUAUGCAAGUUGAACGAGUGGCGGACGAGUGAGUAAUGCUUGGGAAUCUGGCUUAUGGAUGGGGAUAACGACGGUAAACUGUCGCUAAUACCGCGUACCAUAGGACGAGCCUAAGUGGGAUUUGGUAGUUGGUGUGGUAACGGCCUACCAAGCCGACGAUCUCUAGCUGGUCUGAGAGGAUGAGCAGCCACAACGGGAGGGGAACACGGCCCGGACGCCUACGGGAGGCAGCAGUGGGGAAUAUUGGACGAUGGGGGCAACCUGACGCAGCCAUGCCGCGGGAAUGAAGUAGGCCUGGGGGUUGUAAAGUUCUUUCGGUGGCGAGGCGUUGAUCACAGGAGAAGCACCGGCUAAGUCCGUGCCAGCGGCCGCGGUAAUUC